GCCGGGCGUAGUGGUGGGCACCUGUAAUCCCAGCUACUGGGAGGCUGAGGCAGGAGAAUCGCUUGAACCCAGGAGGUGGAGGUGGCAGUGAGCAGAGAUCAUGCCACUGCUCUCCAGCCUGGGCAACAGAGUGAGACUCUGUCUCAA
Molecule: non-coding RNA, 147 nt
Organism: Pan troglodytes (chimpanzee)
Lineage: Eukaryota; Metazoa; Chordata; Mammalia; Primates; Hominidae
Rfam family: Metazoan signal recognition particle RNA
About the family: The signal recognition particle (SRP) is a universally conserved ribonucleoprotein. It is involved in the co-translational targeting of proteins to membranes.
Source: Rfam